Molecule: long non-coding RNA, 387 nt
Filed under: Panax ginseng (ginseng)
Lineage: Eukaryota; Viridiplantae; Streptophyta; Magnoliopsida; Apiales; Araliaceae
Description: long non-coding RNA (PGIN_LNC015888)
Source: RNAcentral
UCGAAAAAUACAGAUAUUUAAAUAAAUAUAAACACACACAUAUUCAUACCUUUUCGUUGUAUCCCUAUUAUUGACCUAAAUUAUCGUCGCCUAUAUUAUCUUCGUUGUGACCGAACUCUGUGUCUAUACAUCUUUUCUAUAAUCUAUAUUAUUGCCGAAUCUUUUGGUAAUCGAUACAUGAUUCAAAGCAUGAAUCUUUUCUAAUUUCCUGUGAGAUUUGAUUACUUUUUGGCCAUUUAUUAUUUCAUUUUUUUCUGCAUUUAGGGGCUUUUGAAUUGAAUUUAUGGCUUAAUCUAUUUUUUAUAUUUUUUAUGCAGAUAUGGUGAAAGUCAGGAGAAUUCUCAAUUGCUUCGUCACAGUUUCGAAAUUUGUAUGGUUUCUUACAAC